Molecule: ribosomal RNA, 685 nt
Filed under: uncultured Vibrionaceae bacterium
Lineage: Bacteria; Pseudomonadati; Pseudomonadota; Gammaproteobacteria; Vibrionales; Vibrionaceae
Description: bacterial SSU rRNA
Rfam family: Bacterial small subunit ribosomal RNA
Source: RNAcentral
UAGAGUUUGAUCAUGGCUCAGAUUGAACGCUGGCGGCAGGCCUAACACAUGCAAGUCGAGCGGAAACGACAACAUUGAAUCUUCGGAGGAUUUGUUGGGCGUCGAGCGGCGGACGGGUGAGUAAUGCCUAGGAAAUUGCCUAGAUGUGGGGGAUAACCAUUGGAAACGAUGGCUAAUACCGCAUAAUGCCUACGGGCCAAAGAGGGGGACCUUCGGGCCUCUCGCGUCAAGAUAUGCCUAGGUGGGAUUAGCUAGUUGGUGAGGUAAUGGCUCACCAAGGCGACGAUCCCCAGCUGGUCUGAGAGGAUGAUCAGCCACACUGGAACUGAGACACGGUCCAGACUCCUACGGGAGGCAGCAGUGGGGAAUAUUGCACAAUGGGCGAAAGCCUGAUGCAGCCAUGCCGCGUGUAUGAAGAAGGCCUUCGGGUUGUAAAGUACUUUCAGUUGUGUGGAAGGGUGUGUAGUUAAUAGCUGCGCAUCUUGACGUUAGCAACAGAAGAAGCACCGGCUAACUCCGUGCCAGCAGCCGCGGUAAUACGGAGGGUGCGAGCGUUAAUCGGAAUUACUGGGCGUAAAGCGCAUGCAGGUGGUUCAUUAAGUCAGAUGUGAAAGCCCGGGGCUCAACCUCGGAACUGCAUUUGAAACUGGUGAACUAGAGUGCUGUAGAGGGGGGUAGAAUUUCA